GCCCUUAGAGUUUGAUCCUGGCUCAGGACGAACGCUGGCGGCGUGCUUAACACAUGCAAGUCGAACGAAGCAUUUGCGACAGAUUUCUUCGGAUUGAAGUUGCUUAUGACUGAGUGGCGGACGGGUGAGUAACGCGUGGGUAACCUGCCUCAUACAGGGGGAUAGCAGCUGGAAACGGCUGGUAAUACCGCAUAAGCGCACAGUACCACAUGGUACAGUGUGAAAAACUCCGGUGGUAUGAGAUGGACCCGCGUCUGAUAGCUGGUUGGUGGGGUAACGGCCCACCAAGGCGACGAUCAGUAGCCGACCUGAGAGGGUGACCGGCCACAUUGGGACUGAGACACGGCCCAGACUCCUACGGGAGGCAGCAGUGGGGAAUAUUGCACAAUGGAGGGAACUCUGAUGCAGCGACGCCGCGUGAGUGAAGAAGUAGUUCGCUAUGUAAAGCUCUAUCAGCAGGGAAGAUAGAGACGGUACCUGACUAAGAAGCUCCGGC
Molecule: ribosomal RNA, 496 nt
Filed under: uncultured bacterium
Lineage: Bacteria
Description: bacterial SSU rRNA
Rfam family: Bacterial small subunit ribosomal RNA
Source: RNAcentral